This 684-nucleotide ribosomal RNA is filed under the name uncultured archaeon. Its description in RNAcentral is "bacterial SSU rRNA". It matches the Rfam family "Archaeal small subunit ribosomal RNA", at positions 170 to 838 of the family's 1478-position model. The record is from RNAcentral.
CCUGAAUGGUCUCUCACCCAAAGACGUGGAAGCCAUGCUUUUCAGCGUUGCCUAAGGAUGGAGCCGCGGCCGAUCAGGUUGUUGGUGAGGUAAUGGCUCACCAAGCCUAUAACCGGUACGGGCCAUGAGAGUGGGAGCCCGGGGAUGGGCACUGAGACAGGGGCCCAGGCCCUACGGGGCGCAGCAGUUGCGAAACCUCCACAAUGCACGAAAGUGCGAUGGGGCUAACCCGAGUGCCGUCCGCUGAGGAGGGCUUUUCUCCGCUGUAAGGAGGCGGAGGAAUAAGGAGAGGGCAAGACUGGUGUCAGCCGCCGCGGUAAUACCAGCUCUCCGAGUGGUAGGGACGAUUAUUGGGCCUAAAGCGUUCGUAGCCGGCUUGGCAAGUCUCUCGUUAAAUCCAGUGACCUAAUCGCUGGGCUGCGGGAGAUACUGUCAGGCUUGGGAGCGGAAGAGGUCGACGGUAUUCUCGGGGUAGGGGUGAAAUCCUGUAAUCCCGGGAGGACCACCAGUGGCGAAGGCUGUCGACUAGAACGCGUCCGACGGUGAGGGACGAAAGCUGGGGGAGCGAACCGGAUUAGAUACCCGGGUAGUCCCAGCUGUAAACUAUGCGGGCUAGGUGUCAGUGUGGCUACGAGCCACUCUGGUGCCGCAGGGAAGCUCAUAAGCCCGCCGCCUGGGAAGUAC